CUGUCGGCAUGGGUGGCACAGAGUGUUAGAGACAGAGAGAGAGAGAGAAAAAAAGGGCGAGAGAGCUCUUCCCUUUGCAGCUUUGAAGAUGGACGCGUUAAGCGAACGAGCACAGAGCACUUAAUCAGUGUCCUGCCCCCAGCCUCCAGCCCCUCCCUUUGUUUUCCUUUCUUCGGCCCUCAGAAAGACCGCUGGACAUGUUAAUGGCUGUAUCACAAUCAUAAUUGCAGCCUUCCCAAUCGCGUACAUACAGAGGUCUACCGCACAACAUGGCCCCAGAGCUCCUGUCCUACUGCUGCUGCUGGACCACAGCGAAGCCCUCAGACCUCAGCCUCCUGGGGCAAUUAUUCACCAUUACAUGUAAUUGGGAGCCAUGGUGGGGUCCAUCAAAGGCCCAGCCGUCCCGCUCCUCCACAGGGAGGGACACUGUGCAGAUGUCCGCUUAUAACCCCACUGACUGGCCUGCGAGGAAGCGGUUCACUGGGUUCAUGGCUCUCCUUCGUUCCCUUCCUUCCUUCGCUCUGUCCAGUAUUGUCCUGUCACGGGGUGUCGUUUAGGGCCGGAGACGGACCCAGAUGAGAAAAAGGUUGACCUUGGGAGUUUGCAGCUGAUCUUGAGAAAUCCUUACCAUCUCAAUGCUACUUAUCUGUCUCUGUGUCUUUCGCUUUCAUUCUCUUCCUCUCGUUCACCUUCUCACGUCCUCUGUGUCCCUCUCUCUCUCCUCCCUCCCAGAUGUGGUAUGCAGUGCACUCCUCCCUCAUCACGGCUCUCUAGUGUUCCCUCUCCCAGUCAGAACAACCCAGGCGGGCUCUACUCAUCUUAUCAGAUGGAGCCAGGCAGGCAGGACAGGACGGGGCCAGUGUGGAUCCAGCUGCUCCCAGGAGCAGGGCGCAGUCCCACUUAAUAGGUCUUCCCGGCAUCCCAGGCCUCGCCCCACUGGCAUCCCAGUCACAGCCAGGCAGGCUACUCUGUGGGUGGCACGCCUUGGAAACAGGCGGCAGAGACAGAGGAGCAGGUGAGGGGGGAUCUUCUACACCAGGUGACGCUAGGUAAGCGCGCAACCUUUUUUCAAAGAUGACACUGUAAAUGCAUGGACCGGUACAGUAGGUUUAAGCUGAUCUAGAAUCAGCAGUAAAGCCCGGGUGUACAUACUAUGCUCUAGGGAUCUGAUUGUGGAGGUGGCCUUGCAAUUUCAGGUCAUCAUGACUUCUCUCUAAAUAUUUAUAUAGGAAACCCCUUCAACUGCUAACUAUGGAUAUAAGUAGAAAAGCCUCAAUAGUAAAUUAUAAAGCAGUGAGAUAUGUGCCUCCUACACCAGGGGUGUAGACAGGCCAAACCAGCUGUUAGCUGUGGAGAGCUGUGAACCCAACCAUGGGGUGAUAAGGGUGGAGUGGUCUACAGGGAGGAGUGUGUGUAUGUGUGUGUAUCUUGGCUGUCCGUGGUUAACCCCUGGCAGAUCGAUAGGGCCUCUAUCUCUAUGACUUAUGGUGACAUGGUGCAGGGUGGGUGUGUCAGCACCGCUUAUGCUCACAUUCCAGGGUGCACGAAGCAAAACUGACGCAGGCGCAACCAAAUAUCGCUAGAACCGCA
Long non-coding RNA from Oncorhynchus kisutch (coho salmon), 1590 nucleotides. The record is from Ensembl. Lineage: Eukaryota; Metazoa; Chordata; Actinopteri; Salmoniformes; Salmonidae.